This is a long non-coding RNA of Capsicum annuum, 458 nucleotides long. RefSeq lists it as uncharacterized. The transcript is spliced from 3 exons. NCBI's taxonomy places the organism in Eukaryota, Viridiplantae, Streptophyta, Magnoliopsida, Solanales, Solanaceae. The record is from RefSeq and is a predicted model, not a curated record.
CUUUCACUCUUCUUAGCUCCCCGCCUCCAUCUCCAUGGCUAAGUAUGAAAAUCCUCAGCUAAUUCUGCUCCUUCUUUAGCUGAGAUCUACAGUGUAAGGGUGAAUGCAAUUAUUUUUGGUGCUAAAAAGAUGGGUUUAGUCUACUGAGCUUUGAUAUUCUAUUUUGUUGAUGAAGGGAGGGAGACUGUAGGAAGCUCGGACCCAUGGAAAACUAGAUAGUAUCAAAAUCCUCAGCUACUUGAGUGUAAGAUCCAACCUAUGGACCUCCCGAUCUACUGAGAGACCAUUUUUGUUGGCUGGUGUAGUUAGGAUAAGUAGUUUUUUCCUUUUUUUAUUUGCCUUACAAAGGCUGUAAAUCUUAUGCAUGUGGAAAACUAUUGCUUUUGCCUUCCCAUUAUGUUAUCACUAAAGUGCUGCUAACUUUAAGUAUGAAGUUUGAUACUUAUCACUAUUUAGAA